AAACUAUUGCGUUCACCCCGAAAGCCAGCACGCAAGAUUUCCAAGAUCCCAUUCAAGGUUCUUGAUGCCCCAGAGUUGCAGGAUGACUUCUACCUCAACCUGGUGGACUGGUCAGCUGGAAAUCUCUUGAGUGUUGGUUUGGGGGCCUGUGUUUACCUGUGGAGUGCCUGUACCAGUCAGGUGACGCGGUUGUGUGACUUAUCAGUGGAUGGUGACUCUGUUACAUCAGUGUGCUGGAAUGAGAGGGGAAGUUUGGUGGCUGUAGGGACCCAUAAAGGAUUUGUCCAGAUUUGGGACGCAGCUGGAGGGAGGAAGCUGACCAGUUUGGAGGGACAUUCAGCACGCGUAGGAGCGCUUGCGUGGAAUGGAGAGCAGCUGUCAUCGGGUAGCCGGGACAGAGUGAUUCUGCAGAGGGACGUGAGGACACCUCCUCCUGUGGAGAGACGCCUCCAGGGCCACAGGCAGGAAGUGUGUGGCCUCAAGUGGUCACCUGACCACCAGCACCUCGCCUCUGGAGGGAACGAUAACAAGGCCAUCCAAGAUGUAGAUGAGUUUGUUUCUUCAUC
This is a long non-coding RNA of Sinocyclocheilus grahami, 566 nucleotides long. RefSeq lists it as uncharacterized. The record is from RefSeq and is a predicted model, not a curated record. NCBI's taxonomy places the organism in Eukaryota, Metazoa, Chordata, Actinopteri, Cypriniformes, Cyprinidae. The transcript is spliced from 6 exons.